RNAcentral lists this long non-coding RNA (233 nucleotides) under Elaeis guineensis (African oil palm). RNAcentral describes it as "long non-coding RNA (EGUI_LNC012959)". The record is from RNAcentral. Lineage: Eukaryota; Viridiplantae; Streptophyta; Magnoliopsida; Arecales; Arecaceae.
GCUUGACAAAUGAUGGGACAAUGACAAUAAAGUUAGAUGCUAUAAAUUGGAGUCUAUAGUUGAAGAACUCCAAUGCAUGCAUAAGGACGUGUAGACUGUCAAUAACAUGCUGACUCAUCUGCAAUAAUUAAGAGAUGAUCAGAGUCACACAAUGCAUGAGAUACGUGAUGGGCAGUUUAUCCAUGGUCACUGUUUGACAAUGAUUAAGGAUAUUGAGAAGCUUGAGAAGCUUG